Molecule: non-coding RNA, 2930 nt
Organism: Pocillopora verrucosa
Lineage: Eukaryota; Metazoa; Cnidaria; Anthozoa; Scleractinia; Pocilloporidae
Source: RefSeq, a predicted model, not a curated record
UACAGCCAUCAGUCGGUUGUAAACAUUAAAAUUGCUAAGUUUUGGUCUCGUUAUACCCUAGGGGAACACAACUAUGGACAGAAGCGGAAAGGAUUUUAAACUUCUCAGCACAUUCUUCCUUCUGAGUCUCGCCCUUUCGAACAAAGUAUCUGCCUCAUCAGAUCUUAGGCAUCCGUGCAACUCUCCGUGCCUUUUGAUCUCAACUCCAACACGCAUAUUGGCUGUAGACUACGGUAACCAGUCAAGUUUUGCAGUCAUUUCAAAUUUGUCAAAUGCCAAUGGUUAUUACGUAGACGUUCAUUACAAGCUGGGCUACUUAUUUUGGAGUGAUCGAACAGAACGUAAAAUCAAGCGCUCGAAUAUGGACGGUACAAAUAUUACAGUUAUCCACAAUGACACGAACUGUGUGGGACUAGCAGUGGAGUGGAACUCGAUGCGGUUGUAUUGGACGGAAAAUAUCAAAAAAACAAUAUCGGUAUCAGACUUGGAGGGAAACAACAGAAAUAUUGUCCUUUCUACAACAGACUACCCAAGAGGAAUUGCUGUUGACCCGCAGCAGGGGUUAAUGUUUUGGGCAGCCAUGUCGAAAAUCGAAAAAUCAAAUUUGGACGGAACACAGCGUGAUAUUAUAGUAUCAUCAAAUCUCUCAAGUGCGCAUAGUAUCACUGUGGAUAGAAAACGAAAGCGUGUUUUUUGGGUGGACUAUAUUAAGGAUCAAAUAGAAUCUGUUAACUAUAGUGGCAGCAACAGAGUACUACUGAGUCGGAUACAAGGCGUAAUUAACUUGUUUGGAAUUGCUUUCACGUCCUCAUUUUUAUUCGUUGGUGAAUGGCAUGGAAAUACCGUUUUCAAAGUGAAUGCGUCCAAUGGAACAGUUGUCAGUAGUGUUCAAUUUGCUUCGUCCGCCCCAUCCGGAUCUCGUGGAAUCUAUGGAUAUGACAGCACUUUGCAGCCACCAGCAACGUGUCCGGCGUUACCAGCACCGACUGAUGGAGCAAUACUUGGAUGCCCAAGAAACGCAAGUGUAAAUUAUGAUACAGUCUGUCAGUUCUUGUGUAACAAUCGCUACUUAGGUCAUGGUUCUCAAGAAAGAAGAUGUUUACUCAACGGAACCUGGAGCGGACAAGAGUUUGUUUGUCAAAGUAAGUAGCAGUAUAUUCACUUUCUGAUGAUACUGCGUAUGAUGGCUAAGGAGAGAAGAUCACACCUCAAUAUUUCCUAAACCACCUCUUAGCUCAACUUCCUCCCAACAUGAAAAUGGCCAUUGACGCUUUCCGCUAAGCCAAUCAGACUGCAAAAUUUCGAUCGGCUAAAUUUUGAGUAUCAAAUAGUGCGGAGUAAUGUUGUCUGUUGGUUCAAAAGUCAGGAAAUGUACAAAGAAUGGAACCUGGAGUGGUAUGGACCUUGUCUGUACAGGUAUAAGAUUUCCGAACACUUAGUACUGGCGAGUGUUGCUCCUCUGUCCUAGUGAUGAACUUGGAAGACGAAUCAGUCUAAGAUCCUCACUAGUCUAAGGUUGUCUGCGAUUGUAGAUUGCGAUUGUUGAUCUAACAUCGUGGUGACAAUCAUUUUCCUCAUGGUUACGCGGUAUAUCUAAUGUGUGUUUGUUUCUGGAUCAAUCGAUCUAUGUUUAAAGAACUCAGAUGACUUACGGUUUAACAUCAUGAAUUGAUAAAAGAUCGUAAGUAGUCUUUUCAAGGUUUGUAGCGAUUGUAGAUAAUGAUUGAUCUAACAACAGCUUAGUAAUCUUGUGUUUGAGUCUGAGCAGCCGAGCCAAUGCAUCGGCGCUCGGAUCAGUCGAUUUACGACCGUAGAAUGGAUCGUCACUGUCUCUAAAUGUUCAAGACUCAGUAACGAUACAUUUGUCUUAUGCCCCGUAUUCACUUUUAUCAAUGAUUUUGAUACUGAACAGGGAGAUGACACCUGCUUGUCCGAUGUAUCUUAAUUAUAAAUACUAAUCCCAUGUUGAGCCUGUUCGUUUAGAGCGUUGAUCUUUGUUACGAUGCGGUUCAUGAUACCAUCAGUAGGCAUCUUAAGGCCUUUGAUCCAGACCGAGAAGCUGCGAAGUCACCAUACAUCGGCAGAGAUUAAACUGACGAUGAUAAGUGCAGACAUGAGAUUCACUUGAUGCAGACGAUAACUCACGGUCGAACAGUUUGGACAUGAACCUCGAGGACGUGGAAUUGAAUCAGAUGUUCUCUUCUUGUCUAUGCGCAGAGAUCUAAAGAAGUCUAUCCCAAAAGAUAUGAUGGGACCACUAUCUUCUCUUGGUUUCUUGCUUUACGUUUGGAACUCUAAAAUGGUCUCUUCUAAGGAUGGAUGAAUUUGCAAUGAUCUACCAACUGAAAGGCAGAAUGGAUCAUGUGCAAAAUAAAAAUAUUACUGCUUCAUAGAUUUAUUAUACUGUAGAAUCCCCGCCAGUUCAAAAUCCCAAGGGAAACAAAAUAUAGUUCGAACUAGCGACGGUUCGAGUCAGCUGAUAGUAAAUGACUGAAAAAAUAAUUUAAGGAAAAUCGAAUCUUAUUCGCGUUACCGGAGUCGGGUUCAAGUAAACUGAGUUCGAAUUGGCGGGGUUCUACUGUAUAUCAGUUCUAUAUAUGUAACUGUUAAGGUAAAACGCGUAAUGCUACUUUUGUUAAUAUUUACAACAACAGUUACGCUGUAAGGCACCUAAGAAAUAGGAAUGAACUUUUUUUAAUGUAUAGGCUACUACUGGAACUAGAGAACAAUAUCUAUUACUAAAAAGAUGCGUAUGGGAGAAAAACGAAUGUGAUUUAUCGAUUCAGGUGAUUUAUCGAUUCAGAUAAUUUAUAAGUCAAUAUCUAAAAUUAAACCUUCAGUCAUGGUGAUCAAUCUGAAUACAAAACAAGGUUGACCAUCAUUUUAACAUACUGGCUAAAUUAUAUAAAUGCUUUUACCUUUUGGAAAAA